RNAcentral lists this ribosomal RNA (465 nucleotides) under Vreelandella stevensii. RNAcentral describes it as "partial 16S ribosomal RNA". It matches the Rfam family "Bacterial small subunit ribosomal RNA", at positions 338 to 795 of the family's 1533-position model. The record is from RNAcentral. Lineage: Bacteria; Pseudomonadati; Pseudomonadota; Gammaproteobacteria; Oceanospirillales; Halomonadaceae.
CCUACGGGGGGCAGCAGUGGGGAAUAUUGGACAAUGGGGGCAACCCUGAUCCAGCCAUGCCGCGUGUGUGAAGAAGGCCCUCGGGUUGUAAAGCACUUUCAGUGAGGAAGAACGCCUGGUGGUUAAUACCCAUCAGGAAAGACAUCACUCACAGAAGAAGCACCGGCUAACUCCGUGCCAGCAGCCGCGGUAAUACGGAGGGUGCGAGCGUUAAUCGGAAUUACUGGGCGUAAAGCGCGCGUAGGUGGCUUGAUAAGCCGGUUGUGAAAGCCCCGGGCUCAACCUGGGAACGGCAUCCGGAACUGUCAAGCUAGAGUGCAGGAGAGGAAGGUAGAAUUCCCGGUGUAGCGGUGAAAUGCGUAGAGAUCGGGAGGAAUACCAGUGGCGAAGGCGGCCUUCUGGACCGACACUGACACUGAGGUGCGAAAGCGUGGGUAGCAAACAGGAUUAGAUACCCGUGUAGUC